RNAcentral lists this small RNA (109 nucleotides) under Puniceibacterium sp. IMCC21224. RNAcentral's name for it is "Guanidine-I riboswitch aptamer". It matches the Rfam family "Guanidine-I riboswitch aptamer". Rfam says of the family: This family represents a conserved RNA structure found upstream of the ykkC and yxkD genes in Bacillus subtilis and related genes in other bacteria. The function of this family is unclear although it has been suggested that it may function to switch on efflux pumps and detoxification systems in response to harmful environmental molecules. Lineage: Bacteria; Pseudomonadati; Pseudomonadota; Alphaproteobacteria; Rhodobacterales; Paracoccaceae. The record is from Rfam by way of RNAcentral. RNAcentral also lists the same sequence under 1 other name.
UGUGCAGGUGUCUAGGGUUCCGCCGUCGAAACGAUGGGUCAGGUUCAAGAGAUACCGCCGAUGGGGCUAAUUCCCCAUUGGUACACGGCCGGACAAAAUCUCAGGAGAG